Molecule: non-coding RNA, 2192 nt
Organism: Microcebus murinus (gray mouse lemur)
Lineage: Eukaryota; Metazoa; Chordata; Mammalia; Primates; Cheirogaleidae
Source: RefSeq, a predicted model, not a curated record
CUCCUGGCCUCAAGCAAUACUUGUACCUCCUACCUGACUGCUAGGAUUACAGGUGUGAGCCACUGUGCCCAGCCUCCAUCCAGCUGUCUUUCUGUAUACUCGCAUAGAAAGAUGACUGCAACUUCAUCGUCUGCUGUUGAAGAUAGAAAUGACCAGGAAGUUGGUAACCAUAUAGAGAUGCAUGAAGAAAAUAAGGAGAGACUUUUGAAUCAAGUAAACUUCAUCUAUAGGAAAAUAUAUACUAAGAAAGGCUAUGGAUAUGAAACAUUGUAAAAAGCAUUCCAUUGAGACAAAAAGUCCAUGAGUAUGUCUUAAGUGGAAAGAGUUUGAAACAUAAUUUAGAUGUACUUAAUUGUAGAAGAAAGAACCUUUUUGAAUUUAAUGGAGGUGAAAAAUCAUUCAGUUAUAAUUCAUCUAAAUAAAAGAUAAGAAAAUUCAUACAGUGAAGAAAACGUAUGGAUUUGGUGACUGUGGGAAAGUGUUCAAACAGAAGUCAUACCUGAUGGGACACCAGAAAAUAUAUACUAGAGAGAAGCUCUAUGGAUGUAAUGAGUGCAGGAAAGCCUUUGUUGAUUGUUCAUCCCAUGCUAGGCACAUAAAAUCCUAUAUGCAUGAGAGACCCUAUAAAUGCAAUUUCUGCCUGAAAGCCUGUGGCAGAAAACAUACCUCAUUAUACACCAGAGAAUUCACAUUAGCAAGAAACCUUAUGAUUUUAGUCAGCAUGGAAAAGCCUUUAUUGAUAGUCCAUCUCUUUUUCAACAUAUGAGAAAUUAUAUAAGGAGAAUCUCUAUGAAUGCAAUCAGUGUGGAAAGGCCUUCAGGUGAAGCUCAACUUUCUUGGAGCAUGAGGGAACCCAUACAGGGGAGAAGCCCUAUGACUGUAAAGAAGGUGGUAGAACGUUCAAUAAGACAUCCCAGCUCAUUAUUCAUCAUAGAACUUAUACUGAGGAGAAAUUCUAUGCAUGUACUGAAUGUGGGUAAUCCUUCACUGAUCAUUCCACCUUCAGGCAUCAUAUUAGAACUCUCACUGGAGAGAAACCUUGUAAAUGUAAUGAAUGUGGAAAAGCCUUCUGCCAUGUGACUGGUCUCAUUUGACACAAGAGAAUCCAUAGUGGAGAGAAACUAUAUAUUUCUAGUGUAUAUGAGGAAUCCUUCUGAAAUAGCUUGGUCCUUUCUCAAAUAAGAGAACUCAUACUGAAGAAGCCCUGUGAAUGUGAUGAGUGUGGAAAAGUCUUUGCUCAUAGUUUGUCCCUCAGUCAACAUGCAAGAACUCAUACAGACAAAAAAAAUCUUGUGACUCACUAGAUGUCAGAAUUAACUAAAUGUUUAUUAGACACUAAAUGGUUCAUAUUAUAGAUUACCUUUAGUAAUUUAUCAAGCUUAAUGAAACUUAUACAUCUUCAAACUCUAUUAUAUUAGAAGUCAUUUUGCAAGCCUAAUAGCCAACUACUAUUAAAUGUUUAUAGAACAUACUUAUGUUAGGCCUAUUUUUUGUAUAGUAUAAAGGUUUAAAACAUACAGUAGGAAGAAAAGAACAACAGAAUAAUACUAUAUGCACUUCAAUAGAGUAUCUUAUAAUGUUAUAUAUAAGGUCAAUAGUUACUUCUUAGUAUUUUUUACAUAUGAAUACAUAUAUUGAUUUUUAAGAAAUCAGAAGGAAACACAUUCAUUUUAUGAUUAUUCAUUUAGAAUAUUACAUGCAAAGGUGGUGGGGAAACUGAUUCACUGGGGUAAAUGGAGAUAUAUUACUUUCCUGUUAGCAUUUGUGUGAAUACUGCAUUUUUAAAAUGCCUAAUCCAACACUUAAACCAAAAUGUUACUUGCUUCCUUACCACAAUGUUGCUUGAUAUUAUGUAAAAUCAGAAUUAAAUCUCCAUAAAUGAUUACAAAACUCUGAUAUAUACAAUACUGAAUCUGAUCAGUCUUCUCAAGUACACUUUAUGAAUUUAAAAAGUAAAUUGUAUACAUGUUUCUAAAUAUUUAUUUUAAUUGCUAUUUUGGACCAUGAGUUGCAACUAUCAUAAAACAAAAGUGAUCUUUGGGGUCAAAUAGGUGUUAUCUGUCAAAGUUGUUACCUCCUGCAUUUGUAUUACUUCAUCCAAGCACAAGAAGAAGGUUAGUGAGCCUUUUUUGCAUGAUGUUUGGAAUAAAUGGACAGUCACACAAUAAACACUAUUUUGUGGCCACAGAGCA